UACAGAGGGGGCAAGCGUUGUUCGGAAUUACUGGGCGUAAAGGGCGCGUAGGCGGCCUCUUAAGUCGAACGUGAAAUCCCCGGGCUCAACCCGGGAACUGCGUCCGAUACUGGGAGGCUUGAAUCCGGGAGAGGGAUGUGGAAUUCCAGGUGUAGCGGUGAAAUGCGUAGAUAUCGGAAGGAACAUCAGUGGCGAAAGCGGCUUCCUGGACCAGCACCGACGUUCAGGCACGAAAGCGUGGGGAGCAAACAGG
RNAcentral lists this ribosomal RNA (253 nucleotides) under uncultured bacterium. Its description in RNAcentral is "partial 16S ribosomal RNA". It matches the Rfam family "Bacterial small subunit ribosomal RNA", at positions 524 to 776 of the family's 1533-position model. The record is from RNAcentral.